Molecule: ribosomal RNA, 480 nt
Filed under: uncultured bacterium
Lineage: Bacteria
Description: partial 16S ribosomal RNA
Rfam family: Bacterial small subunit ribosomal RNA
Source: RNAcentral
AUGAACGCUGGCGGCGUGCUUAACACAUGCAAGUCGAACGAAGCAUUUGCGACAGAUUUUUUCGGAAUGAAGUUGCUUAUGACUGAGUGGCGGACGGGUGAGUAACGCGUGGGUAACCUGCCUUGUACUGGGGGAUAGCAGCUGGAAACGGCUGGUAAUACCGCAUAAGCGCACAAUGUUGCAUGACAUGGUGUGAAAAACUCCGGUGGUAUAAGAUGGACCCGCGUCUGAUUAGCUAGUUGGUGAGAUAACAGCCCACCAAGGCGACGAUCAGUAGCCGACCUGAGAGGGUGACCGGCCACAUUGGGACUGAGACACGGCCCAGACUCCUACGGGAAGCAGCAGUGGGGAAUAUUGCACUAUGGAGGAAACUCUGAUGCAGCGACGCCGCGUGAGUGAAGAAGUAAUUCGUUAUGUAAAGCUCUAUCAGCAGGGAAGAUAGUGACGGUACCUGACUAAGAAGCUCCGGCUAAAUACGUG